UGGGGAAUAUUGCACAAUGGGCGCAAGCCUGAUGCAGCCAUGCCGCGUGUAUGAAGAAGGCCUUCGGGUUGUAAAGUACUUUCAGCGGGGAGGAAGGGAGUAAAGUUAAUACCUUUGCUCAUUGACGUUACCCGCAGAAGAAGCACCGGCUAACUCCGUGCCAGCAGCCGCGGUAAUACGGAGGGUGCAAGCGUUAAUCGGAAUUACUGGGCGUAAAGCGCACGCAGGCGGUUUGUUAAGUCAGAUGUGAAAUCCCCAGGCUCAACCUGGGAACUGCAUCUGAUACAGGGUAGCUUGAGUCUCGUAGAGGGGGGUAGAGUUCCAGGUGUAGCGGUGAAAUGCGUAGAGAUCUGGAGGAAUACCGGUGGCGAAGGCGGCCCCCUGAACGAAGACUGACGCUAAGGUGCGAAAGCGUGGGGAGCAAACAGG
This 429-nucleotide ribosomal RNA is filed under the name Chloroflexota bacterium. RNAcentral describes it as "Chloroflexi bacterium partial 16S ribosomal RNA". It matches the Rfam family "Bacterial small subunit ribosomal RNA", at positions 355 to 776 of the family's 1533-position model. Lineage: Bacteria; Bacillati; Chloroflexota. The record is from RNAcentral.